CAGGCCUAACACCUGCAAGUCGAACGGUAGCACAGAGAGCUUGCUCUCGGGUGACGAGUGGCGGACGGGUGAGUAAUGUCUGGGAAACUGCCCGAUGGAGGGGGAUAACUACUGGAAACGGUAGCUAAUACCGCAUAACGUCUUCGGACCAAAGUGGGGGACCUUCGGGCCUCACACCAUCGGAUGUGCCCAGAUGGGAUUAGCUAGUAGGUGGGGUAAUGGCUCACCUAGGCGACGAUCCCUAGCUGGUCUGAGAGGAUGACCAGCCACACUGGAACUGAGACACGGUCCAGACUCCUACGGGAGGCAGCAGUGGGGAAUAUUGCACAAUGGGCGCAAGCCUGAUGCAGCCAUGCCGCGUGUAUGAAGAAGGCCUUCGGGUUGUAAAGUACUUUCAGCGGGGAGGAAGGCGGUGGAGUUAAUAGCUUCAUCGAUUGACGUUACCCGCAGAAGAAGCACCGGCUUACUCCGUGCCAGCAGCCGCGGUUAU
RNAcentral lists this ribosomal RNA (490 nucleotides) under uncultured bacterium. RNAcentral describes it as "bacterial SSU rRNA". It matches the Rfam family "Bacterial small subunit ribosomal RNA", at positions 43 to 524 of the family's 1533-position model. The record is from RNAcentral.